Molecule: ribosomal RNA, 495 nt
Filed under: uncultured bacterium
Lineage: Bacteria
Description: partial 16S ribosomal RNA
Rfam family: Bacterial small subunit ribosomal RNA
Source: RNAcentral
GACGAACGCUGGCGGCGUGCCUAAUACAUGCAAGUAGAACGCUGAAGGAGGAGCUUGCUCCUCUGGAUGAGUUGCGAACGGGUGAGUAACGCGUAGGUAACCUGCCUGGUAGCGGGGGAUAACUAUUGGAAACGAUAGCUAAUACCGCAUAAGAGUAGAUGUUGCAUGACAUUUGCUUAAAAGGUGCAAUUGCAUCACUACCAGAUGGACCUGCGUUGUAUUAGCUAGUUGGUGGGGUAACGGCUCACCAAGGCGACGAUACAUAGCCGACCUGAGAGGGUGAUCGGCCACACUGGGACUGAGACACGGCCCAGACUCCUACGGGAGGCAGCAGUAGGGAAUCUUCGGCAAUGGACGGAAGUCUGACCGAGCAACGCCGCGUGAGUGAAGAAGGUUUUCGGAUCGUAAAGCUCUGUUGUAAGAGAAGAACGAGUGUGAGAGUGGAAAGUUCACACUGUGACGGUAUCUUACCAGAAAGGGACGGCUAACUACGUG